UUUAAUUGAAACCAAAUAGAGGUAUAUCACUGUUAAUGAUAAAAAUGAGAAAGUACUCCAAUUAA
Molecule: transfer RNA, 65 nt
Filed under: Erotylinae sp. 2 ACP-2013
Lineage: Eukaryota; Metazoa; Arthropoda; Insecta; Coleoptera; Erotylidae
Description: tRNA-Asn
Source: RNAcentral